ACGUAGGGUGCAAGCGUUAAUCGGAAUUACUGGGCGUAAAGUGUGCGCAGGCGGCCGCGCAAGUCGAGUGUGAAAGCCCCGAGCUUAACUUGGGAACUGCGCUCGAAACUACGUGGCUGGAGUGUGGCAGAGGGAGGUGGAAUUCCACGUGUAGCGGUGAAAUGCGUAGAGAUGUGGAGGAACACCGAUGGCGAAGGCAGCCUCCUGGGCCAACACUGACGCUCAUGCACGAAAGCGUGGGGAGCAAACAGGAUUAGAUACCCUGGUAGUCCACGCCUUAAACGAUGACGACUAGUUGUUGGAGGAGUUAAAUCCUUUAGUAACGCAGCUAACGCGUGAAGUCGUCCGCCUGGGGAGUACGGUCGCAAGAUUA
This 373-nucleotide ribosomal RNA is filed under the name uncultured organism. Its description in RNAcentral is "bacterial SSU rRNA". It matches the Rfam family "Bacterial small subunit ribosomal RNA", at positions 525 to 896 of the family's 1533-position model. The record is from RNAcentral.